AGUGAACGCUGGCGGUAGGCCUAACACAUGCAAGUCGAACGGCAGCACAGUAAGAGCUUGCCCUUACGGGUGGCGAGUGGCGGACGGGUGAGGAAUACAUCGGAAUCUACUUUUUCGUGGGGGAUAACGUAGGGAAACCUACGCUAAUACCGCAUACGACCUUCGGGUGAAAGCAGGGGAUCUUCGGACCUUGCGCGAUUGAAUGAGCCGAUGUGGGAUUAGCUGGUUGGCGGGGUAAAGGCCCACCAGGGCGACGAUCCGUAGCUGGUCUGAGAGGAGGGUAGGCCACAUUGGAGCGUGAACAGGGACAAGGGUACUGCGGGAGGGAGCAGACGGGAAUAGUGGGCAAUAGGCGCGAACCUGGUCCAGCCAUACCGCGUGGGUGGAAGAGGCCUUGGGGUUGUAAAGCCCUUUUGUUGGGAAAGAAAAGCAGCAGGUUAAUACCCCGCUGUUCUGACGGUACCCAAUAAAUAAGCACCGGCUAACUUCGUG
Molecule: ribosomal RNA, 492 nt
Filed under: uncultured bacterium
Lineage: Bacteria
Description: partial 16S ribosomal RNA
Rfam family: Bacterial small subunit ribosomal RNA
Source: RNAcentral